Molecule: ribosomal RNA, 848 nt
Filed under: Vibrio alginolyticus
Lineage: Bacteria; Pseudomonadati; Pseudomonadota; Gammaproteobacteria; Vibrionales; Vibrionaceae
Description: bacterial SSU rRNA
Rfam family: Bacterial small subunit ribosomal RNA
Source: RNAcentral
AUGCAGCCAUGCCGCGUGUGUGAAGAAGGCCUUCGGGUUGUAAAGCACUUUCAGUCGUGAGGAAGGUAGUGUAGUUAAUAGCUGCAUUAUUUGACGUUAGCGACAGAAGAAGCACCGGCUAACUCCGUGCCAGCAGCCGCGGUAAUACGGAGGGUGCGAGCGUUAAUCGGAAUUACUGGGCGUAAAGCGCAUGCAGGUGGUUUGUUAAGUCAGAUGUGAAAGCCCGGGGCUCAACCUCGGAAUAGCAUUUGAAACUGGCAGACUAGAGUACUGUAGAGGGGGGUAGAAUUUCAGGUGUAGCGGUGAAAUGCGUAGAGAUCUGAAGGAAUACCGGUGGCGAAGGCGGCCCCCUGGACAGAUACUGACACUCAGAUGCGAAAGCGUGGGGAGCAAACAGGAUUAGAUACCCUGGUAGUCCACGCCGUAAACGAUGUCUACUUGGAGGUUGUGGCCUUGAGCCGUGGCUUUCGGAGCUAACGCGUUAAGUAGACCGCCUGGGGAGUACGGUCGCAAGAUUAAAACUCAAAUGAAUUGACGGGGGCCCGCACAAGCGGUGGAGCAUGUGGUUUAAUUCGAUGCAACGCGAAGAACCUUACCUACUCUUGACAUCCAGAGAACUUUCCAGAGAUGGAUUGGUGCCUUCGGGAACUCUGAGACAGGUGCUGCAUGGCUGUCGUCAGCUCGUGUUGUGAAAUGUUGGGUUAAGUCCCGCAACGAGCGCAACCCUUAUCCUUGUUUGCCAGCGAGUAAUGUCGGGAACUCCAGGGAGACUGCCGGUGAUAAACCGGAGGAAGGUGGGGACGACGUCAAGUCAUCAUGGCCCUUACGAGUAGGGCUACACACGUGCU